This 301-nucleotide ribosomal RNA is filed under the name uncultured bacterium. RNAcentral's name for it is "partial 16S ribosomal RNA". It matches the Rfam family "Bacterial small subunit ribosomal RNA", at positions 509 to 807 of the family's 1533-position model. The record is from RNAcentral.
CAGUCGCCGCGGGAAUACGAAGGGUGCAAGCGUUAAUCGGAAUUACUGGGCGUAAAGCGUGCGUAGGCGGUGAGUUAAGUCUGCUGUGAAAUCCCCGGGCUCAACCUGGGAACUGCGCUUGUGACUGCACAGCUAGAGUAUGGCAGAGGGGGGUGGAAUUCCACGUGUAGCAGUGAAAUGCGUAGAGAUGUGGAGGAACACCGAUGGCGAAGGCAGCCCCCUGGGCCAAUACUGACGCUCAUGCACGAAAGCGUGGGGAGCAAACAGGAUUAGAUACCCGUGUAGUCCCUGUCUCUUAUAC